UCAAAACGACUCUCGGCAACGGAUAUCUCGGCUGACGCAUCGAUGAAGAACGUAGCGAAAUGCGAUACUUGGUGUGAAUUGCAGAAUCCCGUGAACCAUCGAGUCUUUGAACGCAAGUUGCGCCCGACGCCUUCGGGCUGAGGGCACGCCUGCCUGGGCGUCA
This 163-nucleotide ribosomal RNA is filed under the name Plantago depressa. RNAcentral's name for it is "5.8S ribosomal RNA". It matches the Rfam family "5.8S ribosomal RNA". From Rfam's summary of the family: 5.8S ribosomal RNA (5.8S rRNA) is a component of the large subunit of the eukaryotic ribosome. It is transcribed by RNA polymerase I as part of the 45S precursor that also contains 18S and 28S rRNA. Functionally, it is thought that 5.8S rRNA may be involved in ribosome translocation. The record is from RNAcentral. Lineage: Eukaryota; Viridiplantae; Streptophyta; Magnoliopsida; Lamiales; Plantaginaceae.